UGGGGAAUAUUGCACAAUGGGCGAAAGCCUGAUGCAGCGACGCCGCGUGCGGGAUGAAGGCCUUCGGGUUGUAAACCGCUUUUGAUUGGGAGCAAGCGAGAGUGAGUGUACCUUUCGAAUAAGCACCGGCUAACUACGUGCCAGCAGCCGCGGUAAUACGUAGGGUGCAAGCGUUAUCCGGAAUUAUUGGGCGUAAAGAGCUCGUAGGCGGUUUGUCGCGUCUGGUGGGAAAGUCCAUCGCUUAACGGUGGAUCUGCGCCGGGUACGGGCAGGCUAGAGUGCGACAGGGGAGACUGGAAUUCCCGGUGUAACGGUGGAAUGUGUAGAUAUCGGGAAGAACACCAAUGGCGAAGGCAGGUCUCUGGGUCGUCACUGACGCUGAGGAGCGAAAGCGUGGGGAGCGAACA
This 407-nucleotide ribosomal RNA is filed under the name uncultured prokaryote. Its description in RNAcentral is "bacterial SSU rRNA". It matches the Rfam family "Bacterial small subunit ribosomal RNA", at positions 355 to 774 of the family's 1533-position model. The record is from RNAcentral.